Molecule: small RNA, 74 nt
Filed under: Hyphomicrobiales bacterium
Lineage: Bacteria; Pseudomonadati; Pseudomonadota; Alphaproteobacteria; Hyphomicrobiales
Description: suhB
Rfam family: Makes More Granules Regulator RNA (mmgR)
About the family: SuhB later renamed mmgR (makes more granules regulator) was a putative non-coding RNA found multiple times in the Agrobacterium tumefaciens genome and related alpha-proteobacteria.
Source: RNAcentral
UGUCGCUGCCCUCCUUGGGCGUUUCCUCCCUAGACUUGGGCCGCGCAUCAGCGCGGCCUUCUUUCUUUUUAGGG